CGCUAACAGAUGAGCCUGCGUUAGAUUAGCUAGUUGGGUAGGGUAAAGGCCUACCAAGGCGACGAUCUAUAGCUGGUCUGAGAGGACGAUCAGCCACACUGGGACUGAGACACGGCCCAGACUCCUACGGGAGGCAGCAGUGGGGAAUAUUGGACAAUGGGCGAAAGCCUGAUCCAGCAAUACCGCGUGUGUGAAGAAGGCCUUAGGGUUGUAAAGCACUUUCAAUUGGGAGGAAAACCUAUCGAUCAAUACCCGAUAGCUUGACAUUACCUUUAGAAGAAGCACCGGCUAACUCCGUGCCAGCAGCCGCGGUAAUACGGAGGGUGCGAGCGUUAAUCGGAAUUACUGGGCGUAAAGCGUGCGUAGGCGGUUCGUUAAGUCAGAUGUGAAAGCCCUGGGCUCAACCUGGGAACUGCAUUUGAAACUGGCGGACUAGAGUUUAGUAGAGGGGAGUGGAAUUUCAGGUGUAGCGGUGAAAUGCGUAGAUAUCUGAAGGAACACCAGUGGCGAAGGCGACUCCCUGGACUAGAACUGACGCUGAGGUACGAAAGCGUGGGUAGCAAACAGGAUUAGAUACCCUGGUAGUCCACGCCGUAAACGAUGUCGACUAGCCGUUGGCCCUAUUUACAGGGUUAGUGGCGCAGCU
This 646-nucleotide ribosomal RNA is filed under the name uncultured bacterium. RNAcentral's name for it is "bacterial SSU rRNA". It matches the Rfam family "Bacterial small subunit ribosomal RNA", at positions 216 to 853 of the family's 1533-position model. The record is from RNAcentral.